This 73-nucleotide transfer RNA is filed under the name Camelus bactrianus (Bactrian camel). It matches the Rfam family "tRNA". From Rfam's summary of the family: Transfer RNA (tRNA) molecules are approximately 80 nucleotides in length. RNAcentral also lists the same sequence under 2 other names. The record is from Rfam by way of RNAcentral. Lineage: Eukaryota; Metazoa; Chordata; Mammalia; Artiodactyla; Camelidae.
GAGGGUAUAGCUUAAGUGGGAGAGCGCGUGCUUAGCAUGCACAAGGUUCUGGGUUCAAUCCCCCGUACCUCCU